UAUCAAAACGAGUGUUUUAAAGUUUAACCCUUGUAGUAGCAUGUCUUUGCCAUAGCAGCAUUUCACUUAAAAGGAAGAAACUGCUUCUCUAGCAGCAAUUCCUAGUUACCACCUCCAGCUGAGGGGCUGGAGGGAAACAAGUAUAGCCAAAUUCAAUUAAGAUAAACGCCUGUCUCAAUCAACAUUUUAAAAAGAAUGUCCCCUGUGAUGCUGAAUGUUAUGCCUUUGAAUGGACUUAACUAUACAUCUUUGCUCUUCCUAAUUCCAAGUCUGCCCUUCUUUUUAGCUAACCCUAAAUGAGAAGGAAGCAGAAUAUAACCCUCUGGAGAGCUCAAGACAGUAGGAACCUAGAGCGUGCUUGUUUGAAUUUUCUGAUAUCUGAUUUUCACAGGAAUAUACUUUUUGUUUGUUUUCCUUUUCCAUUUUCAAAAUGCCAAGAUCUGGAAGCCUCUUUCAUUCCUCUAGUCACACGGCCUGAGAUAGAAGUUUACAAGUUUACGUCUUAUUGGCUGUGGGUAGAGACUAUGACCCUUAUUUGCUUGGGUACAUUUCAGUAACCUCUUACUGCCUAAAAACAUAGUCCCUCCAGCUUAAGAUGAUGAUUCUGUUUUGUUGACUCUUGAAUGCUUCCCCAACAUCCCUUUAGUUUUCCUAUAAGCAAAACCAAACACCACUAUAAAUACAAAAGCACUUGGUAAACUGUAAAGUUACUCAUGUAUCCCAACCCUCCACAGAUUUCUGAAGACAAAGUUUUGCUUGGACUAAAACAAAAUGUUACUAUUUUUCAUGUUUGAUUUUUAAUUUGUUGUGUUUAUCAACCAAAAUGGUUUUUAUGCUGGAGAACAAGAGGUGAGCCUGCAGCAUAUAAGAAAUGAAAGUAGUCCAACAGGCAAAGGCUUUGACAUAUUUCAGGAAGGCUCAUGUUAGCGACAAUCUCAGACUAUUAUCAUGGGCCAAACCUGAAAGAUGUUAUAUUUUAUUUAAUAAUUUCUACAACAGUAGGAAGUUUCCCCGAUGAAUUCUCAACU
This is a long non-coding RNA of Cebus imitator (Panamanian white-faced capuchin), 1028 nucleotides long. RefSeq lists it as uncharacterized. The record is from RefSeq and is a predicted model, not a curated record. The transcript is spliced from 2 exons. Lineage: Eukaryota; Metazoa; Chordata; Mammalia; Primates; Cebidae.